UUUAGUUUUCCUUCAUCUCGUGAGCUCAAACCUCCAAGCCAUAGCCGAUGCACACAUUUCUCUCUUCUUCUCUUCUCUUCUCUUCUCUUCUUAUAUUCAAAAAACCAAGUUCCCCUCAUCUCCUUCAAGCUUUGUGACUCCAUGGCAAGGGAAGAAGAAAAGCAUUUUCCCUCAUCCUCUCCAAGCAGUACGAGUAUUCUUCCUCCAUACCCAUUUUCGGUUUUGACUCAAAGCUUGGAACCAACGCUUGAUUUCAUCUUCCAAAGGGUGAAAUCUUGAAGUUAAUAGACUUUUGGUUCAUUUCCUAGUAUGAUUUACAUGUGGGUUUCGAGUUUCACCAUUUUCUUACCUAUGACGUUUCGGUUUUGGGAGUAAUACAAUGCCAUCAUUUUGUUCUUCAUCUACACGGCUUUACCACUAUUUGGUCAUUUAUCUUGCCUCUUGAAAGAAGCUAAGAGCUUAAGGUCCUAUAUUGGCGUUGGAAGUAUCGAAGAGCAUAGAGGUAAUGACAAAGUGGUUGGGAGCAGAGCACUAAUACAGAGGGAGAGGCAGACGCUUAGUGUCUUCCCUAUUGGUUCGACCUUGCAUGGAUGUUUAUGGAUGUUGUUUUUAUGUUGGGAUGGGUCCCUUGUUGAGACAUUUUGUUGGGUUUGACUUUAAAACAAUGUAUCUUUUGGUAUGGUGGGAUGAUGGCAACUCCUUAUACAUUGACUUAGUGCCUUUUGUACAUAUGGUAGGGAUGGAGUCUCUUCCUAACUAGAACAGUUAUAUUUUUAUAAAAGUAUGAUGGAC
Juglans regia (Persian walnut) is the source of this 792-nucleotide long non-coding RNA. RefSeq lists it as uncharacterized. The transcript is spliced from 3 exons. Lineage: Eukaryota; Viridiplantae; Streptophyta; Magnoliopsida; Fagales; Juglandaceae. The record is from RefSeq and is a predicted model, not a curated record.